Molecule: long non-coding RNA, 763 nt
Filed under: Equus asinus (donkey)
Lineage: Eukaryota; Metazoa; Chordata; Mammalia; Perissodactyla; Equidae
Description: lncRNA (ENSEASG00005037186.1)
Source: RNAcentral
CGUCGACCUAAGCAGCAGCUAGGCUGCUUGUUCUCGUCGCUGCCACCAGGGGGAGCCAAACCACACAGGCCGGAGGGAGACAGGGAAACGGCUGGGCGUGCCCUCCAUCCAACAGCCUCAUGGAGCCAGGAGAGACGUCAGACACUUCUACGCGCCCAUCAGACUAGAGAGACUGGGCGCCGUUAGAAAACUCGCACUUUUUAAGGAACUUUCCAGAAGCAGGCAGGAGUCAAAAGGAAAGUGUUGGCUUGCGUUGCAGGGAGGAGACGUCUGUUGGAUUGAUCAGAAUUAAACCUGGAAUGCAUUUCUAACAAGCUCUCGGGCGAUGCCGACGCUGCUGGUCCAUGGGUUACCCUCUGAGAACUAAGGGUGAAGGAAAACAUGCAUGGAUUUUGGAGUCAAAGGACCUGGGUUCAAAUCCUGCAAUGAUCCCUCACCAGUGAUGUGACAUUAGGCGGCCCGGUGUCUCGUUGGUUCGAAUCCUGGGUGUGGACAUGGCACUGCUCAUCAAGCCAUGCUGAGGCGGCGUCCCACGUGCCACAACUAGAAGGACCCACAACGAAGAAUAUACAACUAUGUACUGGUGGGCUUUGGGGAGUAAAAGGAAAAAAAAUAAAAUCUUUAAAAAAAAAAUUGGUAACAAACUAAAAGUCUAAGAAUAAUUAUGGGACAGUCAUGAUGUGAAAUAGUGUACACCCAUUAAAAGAUAUCUUGUAAAAAUAUUUAUAUGCAAAAAUGUUUACCAUAUAUUGGCAAGUGAAAA